CCCUAUGGGGUGCGAGGUCGGGCUCCUGAGCGCUGGCGGGCGGACAAGCGACCAGCACGAGCGCGAGCAGGAACGCCAAGGCCAGGCCCAUGUACGCUGGAGGCUGUGCAGAGACAGCGACCGGCGGGCACAGGCUUUGCGCCACCCUGCGAUAGACCCACAAGACCAUGUGGUCCAACAACCUGUUACGGAAGGAUCGUGCUGCGCAACGGGCGGUCCGCCCUGCGCAGCACGUCCAGGUCGAACAUGAUCACUCCUCGGGCUGUGGCGGGAUCAGCAGCAUCUGACCGAUGUACAGCUCGUCUGGAUUCUCCAGAUCGUUGAUCUCAACGAUCUCACUGAUGGAGACGCCAUAGGUAUCGGCGAUGUCCUUGAGCGAGUCACCCUGCUUGACGGUGUGCACCGCCGAGGUGGGGAUGGGGGAGC
This 426-nucleotide ribosomal RNA is filed under the name uncultured prokaryote. Its description in RNAcentral is "partial 16S ribosomal RNA". The record is from RNAcentral.